CAAGAUCCGUUCCUGGAGGGCCACUAUCCUGCAUGUUUUAGAUGUUCCCCUCUUCCAACACACCUGAUUCUAAUGAUCAGGCUCAUUAUCAGGUUUCUGCUGAGCUUGAUGAUGAGCUGAUCAUUUGAAUCAGGUGUGUUGGAAGAGGGAAACAUCUAAAACAUGCAGGAUAGUGGCCCUCCAGGAACUGAGUUUGACACCCCUGGGUUAGAAGGUCUGGAAGAGGUUAGAAGGACUGGAGGAGGUUAGAAGGUCUGGAGGAGGUUAGAAGGUCUGGAAGAGGUUAGAAGGACUGGAAGAGGUUAGAAGGUCUGGAAGAGGUUAGAAGGUCUGGAGGAGGUUAGAAGGUCUGGAAGAGGUUAGAAGGUCUGGAAGAGGUUAGAAGGUCUGGAGGAGGUUAGAAGGCCUGGAGGAGGUUAGAAGGUCUGGAGGAGGUUAGAAGGUCUGGAAGAGGUUAGAAGGUCUGGAAGAGGUUAGAAGGUCUGGAGGAGGUUAGAAGGUCUGGAGGAGGUUAGAAGGUCUGGAAGAGGUUAGAAGGACUGGAAGAGGUUAAAAGGUCUGGAGGAGGUUAGAAGGUCUGGAAGAGGUUAGAAGGUCUGGAGGAGGUUAGAAGGUCUGGAGGAGGUUAAAAGGUCUGGAGGAGGUUAGAAGGUCUGGAAGAGGUUAGAAGGUCUGGAAGAGGUUAGAAGGUCUGGAGGAGGUUAGAAGGUCUGGAAGAGGUUAGAAGGUCUGGAAGAGGUUAGAAGGCCUGGAGGAGGUUAGCAGGUCUGGAAGAGGUUAGAAGGACUGGAAGAGGUUAGAAGGUCUGGAGGAGGUUAGAAGGACUGGAAGAGGUUAGAAGGUCUGGAGGAGGUUAGAAGGACUGGAAGAGGUUAGAAGGACUGGAAGAGGUUAGAAGGUCUGGAGGAGGUUAGAAGGACUGGAAGAGGUUAGAAGGACUGGAGGAGGUUAGAAGGUCUGGAGGAGGUUAGAAGGACUGGAAGAGGUUAGAAGGACUGGAAGAGGUUAGAAGGUCUGGAAGAGGUUAGAAGGACUGGAGGAGGUUAGAAGGUCUGGAGGAGGUUAGAAGGUCUGGAGGAGGUUAGAAGAUCUGCAGGAGGUUAGAAGGACUGGAGGAGGUUAGAAGGUCUGGAAGAGGUUAGAAGGUCUGGAAGAGGUUAGAAGGUCUGGAGGAGGUUAGAAGGUCUGGAAGAGGUUAGAAGGACUGGAAGAGGUUAGAAGCACUGGAGGAGGUUAGAAGGUCUGGAGGAGGUUAGAAGAUCUGCAGGAGGUUAGAAGGACUGGAGGAGGUUAGAAGGUCUGGAAGAGGUUAGAAGGUCUGGAAGAGGUUAGAAGGUCUGGAGGAGGUUAGAAGGUCUGGAAGAGGUUAGAAGGACUGGAAGAGGUUAAAAGGUCUGGAGGAGGUUAGAAGGACUGGAAGAGGUUAGAAGGUCUGGAGGAGGUUAGAAGGACUGGAAGAGGUUAAAAGGUCUGGAG
Long non-coding RNA from Acanthochromis polyacanthus (spiny chromis), 1476 nucleotides. RefSeq lists it as uncharacterized. The transcript is spliced from 5 exons. The record is from RefSeq and is a predicted model, not a curated record. NCBI's taxonomy places the organism in Eukaryota, Metazoa, Chordata, Actinopteri, Pomacentridae.